GACGAACGCUGGCGGCGUGCUUAACACAUGCAAGUCGUACGGUAAGGCCCUUUCGGGGGUACACGAGUGGCGAACGGGUGCGUAACACGUGAGUAACCUGCCCACAACUUUGGGAUAACGCUAGGAAACUGGUGCUAAUACUGGAUAUGUGCUCCUGCUGCAUGGUGGGGGUUGGAAAGCUCCGGCGGUUGUGGAUGGACUCGCGGCCUAUCAGCUUGUUGGUGGGGUAGUGGCCUACCAAGGCGGCGACGGGUAGCCGGCCUGAGAGGGUGACCGGCCACAUUGGGCCUGAAAGACGGCCCAGACACCUACGGGAGGCAGCAGUGGGGAAUAUUGCACAAUGGGCGCAAGCCUGAUGCAGCAACGCCGCGUGCGGGAUGACGGCCUUCGGGUUGUAAACCGCUUUCAGCAGGGACGAAGCUUUUUGUGACGGUACCUGCAGAAGAAGCACCGGCUAACUACGUG
This 465-nucleotide ribosomal RNA is filed under the name uncultured bacterium. RNAcentral describes it as "partial 16S ribosomal RNA". It matches the Rfam family "Bacterial small subunit ribosomal RNA", at positions 28 to 507 of the family's 1533-position model. The record is from RNAcentral.